UCAGAGCGAACGCUGGCGGCAGGCCUAACACAUGCAAGUCGAACGGACCUUUCGGGGUUAGUGGCGGACGGGUGAGUAACACGUGGGAACRUGCCUUUAGGUUCGGAAUAAGCUCGGGAAACUGGGUCUAAUACCGAAUGUGCCCUUCGGGGGAAAGAUUUAUCGCCUUUAGAGCGGCCCGCGUCUGAUUAGCUAGUUGGUGGUGUAAUGGACCACCAAGGCGACGAUCAGUAGCUGGUCUGAGAGGAUGACCAGCCACAUUGGGACUGAGACACGGCCCAAACUCCUACGGGAGGCAGCAGUGGGGAAUCUUGCGCAAUGGGCGAAAGCCUGACGCAGCCAUGCCGCGUGUAUGAUGAAGGUCUUAGGAUUGUAAAAUACUUUCACCGGUGAAGAUAAUGA
This 402-nucleotide ribosomal RNA is filed under the name Brevundimonas variabilis. RNAcentral's name for it is "bacterial SSU rRNA". It matches the Rfam family "Bacterial small subunit ribosomal RNA", at positions 24 to 454 of the family's 1533-position model. The record is from RNAcentral. Lineage: Bacteria; Pseudomonadati; Pseudomonadota; Alphaproteobacteria; Caulobacterales; Caulobacteraceae.